GGAGAGAUCGCCUAGCCCGGUUUAUGGCGCACGACUGGAACUCGUGUAUGGGUAACACCAUCGAGGGUUCGAAUCCCUCUCUCUCCGCCA
RNAcentral lists this transfer RNA (90 nucleotides) under Merdimmobilis hominis. Its description in RNAcentral is "tRNA-Ser". It matches the Rfam family "tRNA". From Rfam's summary of the family: Transfer RNA (tRNA) molecules are approximately 80 nucleotides in length. Their secondary structure includes four short double-helical elements and three loops (D, anti-codon, and T loops). Further hydrogen bonds mediate the characteristic L-shaped molecular structure. tRNAs have two regions of fundamental functional importance: the anti-codon, which is responsible for specific mRNA codon recognition, and the 3' end, to which the tRNAs corresponding amino acid is attached (by aminoacyl-tRNA synthetases). tRNAs cope with the degeneracy of the genetic code in two manners: having more than one tRNA (with a specific anti-codon) for a particular amino acid; and 'wobble' base-pairing, i.e. permitting non-standard base-pairing at the 3rd anti-codon position. Lineage: Bacteria; Bacillati; Bacillota; Clostridia; Eubacteriales; Oscillospiraceae. The record is from RNAcentral. RNAcentral also lists the same sequence under 1 other name.